AAUUCCAGAAAACUUGGUGAAUAAUGAUCUUCAAGCACGAAAACUGAUAAAGAAAAAAAUGUAAAAACGUCGUACGAAAAUAAGUUUCAACACACGUGUUAAAAACCUAAUAGACUCGUCCACUGGAAAACGAGAUUAUCGGGUUAAUCUGUUGUCUCGCAUUCCCGUUUUUUAUCCAAAUGGACGAUAAUUUUUUUAUUAUCUAUGAAACAAGAAAUUCCAAAUGAUUUGUUAAUAUUCAGUACUUCAACUUGAUGCCUUUACCCUGUCCACAUUUGGACAAGUCGAAUUCUAUGAGAUGAUGCAUCUUACGGACUGGUGACAAAUAAGGGAAACGAACUUAAUGUGUAAUUGGUUUUAAACACAAGUUUCGUUCCGCAAUAUUAUUUGCGCAAACGACAUUUCAAGGUCAGUUAUAAUUGAUUUGUCUAUUUUUAGAAACGUAAACUGGAAGUUUUAUUUUUUCACAACAGAAAGUGUUAUCAAUUUUGUUAGUGAUUAAUGCAUUUCA
Molecule: long non-coding RNA, 511 nt
Filed under: Mytilus galloprovincialis (Mediterranean mussel)
Lineage: Eukaryota; Metazoa; Mollusca; Bivalvia; Mytilida; Mytilidae
Source: RNAcentral